UGAAUACGAGACGCUAAGGCGUCGAAGUAGUGUAUGUCAUACUUCCAAGAAAAGCUUGCACUGUCAUAGAUAAAAAACGCCUGUACCAUAACCGACACAGGUGGGUAGGUAGAGUAUACUAAGGGGCGCGAGAUAACUCUCUCUAAGGAACUCGGCAAAAUAACUCCGUAACUUCGGGAGAAGGAGUGCCUUAUUAUUAAGGCUGCAAUAACAAGAUCCAAGCAACUGUUUAUCAAAAACACAGGUCUCCGCUAAGUCGUAAGACGAUGUAUGGGGGCUGACGCCUGCCCAGUGCCAGAAGGUUAAAGAAGUUGGUUAGCAUUUGCGAAGCUGAUAACUGAAGCCCUGGUGAACGGCGGCCGUAACGAUAACGGUCCUAAGGUAGCGAAAUUCCUUGUCGGGUAAGUUCCGACCCGCACGAAAGGCGUAAUGAUUUGGAUACUGUCUCGGAGAGGGGCUCGGUGAAAUAGACUUGUCUGUGAAGAUGCGGACUACCUGCACCAGGACAGAAAGACCCUAUGAAGCUUUACUGUAACUUGAAAUUGAAAUUGGACUUUAUUCGCGCAGCAUAGGUGGGAGGCGUUGAUUAUAAUCUUGUGGGAUUAUUGGAGCCAUCAGUGAGAUACCACUCUUGUAAUGUUAGAUUUCUAACUUUGAAUCAUUAUCUGGUCAAAGAACAGUUUCAGGCGGGCAGUUUGACUGGGGCGGUCGCCUCCUAAACGGUAACGGAGGCGUACAAAGGUUUCCUCUGAACGGUUAGAAAUCGUAUCUAGAGUGUAAAGGCAUAAGGAAGCUUGACUGUGAGACCUACAAGUCGAGCAGGGACGAAAGUCGGUCUUAGUGAUCUGACGGUACUGAGUGGAAAGGCCGUCACUCAACGGAUAAAAGUUACUCUAGGAUAACAGGCUGAUCUCCCCCAAGAGUUCACAUCGACGGGGAGGUUUGGCACCUCGAUGUCGGCUCAUCGCAUCCUGGGGCGGUAGUACGUCCCAAGGGUUGGGCUGUUCGCCCAUGAAAGCGGUACGCGAGCUGGGUUCAGAACGUCGUGAGACAGUUCGGUCCAUAUCCGGUGUAGGCGUUAGAAUAUUGAGAGGAGCCUUCUUUAGUACGAGAGGACCGAGAAGGACAUACCUCUGGUGUACCAGUUAUCGUGCCAACGGUAAACGCUGGGUAGCUAUGUAUGGAGUGGAUAACCGCUGAAAGCAUCUAAGUGGGAAGCCCACCUCAAGAUAAG
This 1234-nucleotide ribosomal RNA is filed under the name metagenome. RNAcentral's name for it is "bacterial LSU rRNA". It matches the Rfam family "Bacterial large subunit ribosomal RNA", at positions 1564 to 2808 of the family's 2925-position model. The record is from RNAcentral.